AUUAUAUACUAUUUAUUGUAUUUUUGACAAAGCAACACUAUCAACUCCGCUUAGAAUCGUUUUUUUCGUUAGCAAUGGCUUAUCUUUGAUAAACAGAUAUAAUUAAAUUCUCUUCUAUAUCCUAUCUUUCCAACUUCCAACCAAAAUAGUGGCUGCACCCACGUGCGAAGUAUGUCUGUCAUUUUUUUCAAUUGUAUUUUUCUUCCAGAAAUUUUGCUGCUAACUUCAAGAGUUAAAUCUUUUUUAAAAGAAAAUGUCCUUUUUCAAUUUGUAGUUUUCUAUAUACAUUCUUUAAGUGUUUAAAUCCGAGAAAAACUGUUGUAAAACGAUAAAGUUUACGGCAUUAAUGGUUUCAUUAGUUUUGAUUUUAUUUUUUUUUUCGCUGUUGUGAUUCGGUUGAAAAUAAUCGUAGAAACUUAAAAUUUUUUACAAAACCCUUGUAUUAUCCUUUUCUAGGCGUUGUGAGGUGUUCAUAAAAUUCAAGCGAUUUCCGAGCUAUUUAUAGGCAUUAUUAGGCAAAAUAUUGUUUUUUUUUUUUUUUUUAGAUUUUAUUUAUGUGUACGCAAUUAUUUGGCCGAAUAGAAAUGCUUGACCAUUAACACGGAGUUCGUGGCAAAUUGCACUUAGUAGUAAAAAAAAAAAAAUAAAAAUAUCCAGCUUAAUGCAGUAAUAUUUUCAAAUUCAAAUUUCG
Molecule: non-coding RNA, 691 nt
Organism: Cinara cedri
Lineage: Eukaryota; Metazoa; Arthropoda; Insecta; Hemiptera; Aphididae
Source: the annotation of a GenBank genome assembly